AGUGUGCUGGCUCUCUAGGGAGCAUUGUGCUAUGUCGUCUUUAUAUCUCCACCUGUGCACCUGUGCACCUUGUGUAGACCUGGAUAAAAAUCUCUGAAUGCUAGUUGUUCAGGUUUGAGGAUUGAUGGUUUUUGUCUCUUCCUUACAUUUUCCAGGCCUAUGUUUCUUCAUAUACCCCAAGUGUAUGUUAUCAGAAUGUAAUUCCAAAUGGGUCUCUGCGCCUAUAAAACUUUAUACAACUUUCAGCAACGGAUCUCUUGGCUCUCGCAUCGAUGAAGAACGCAGCGAAAUGCGAUAAGUAAUGUGAAUUGCAGAAUUCAGUGAAUCAUCGAAUCUUUGAACGCACCUUGCGCUCCUUGGUAUUCCGAGGAGCAUGCCUGUUUGAGUGUCAUUAAUAUAUAUCAACCUCUGCAGCUUUUUGUUUGUUGAGUGUUGGAUGUGGGGGGUUUUCUUCUGUUGGCCUUUCUAAGGUCAACUCCCCUAAAAUGUAUUAGCAGAAUCAGCUCGUUCAUUGGUGUGAUAAAUAUCUACACUAUAAUGGACAUUAAGCAGUUCAGCUUCUAAUAGUCCAUUGACUUGACAA
This 583-nucleotide ribosomal RNA is filed under the name uncultured Cortinarius. RNAcentral's name for it is "eukaryotic LSU rRNA". The stretch from base 238 to 391 matches the Rfam family "5.8S ribosomal RNA". The record is from RNAcentral. Lineage: Eukaryota; Fungi; Basidiomycota; Agaricomycetes; Agaricales; Cortinariaceae.